AAUAUGGCUAUGAUUUUAUCUUUGUAAAAAACAGAUUUUUAAUUUUUGCUUGCCUCCUCCUUUAUGUCGACUAUGGCUGCGCAUCUGCAUUACACAAUUGAAAUAUCUCAAGAGGUCUUUGGCUCUCAUCACUAGUAUCCAGGGACAGCGGAGCAACACACAAGAGAAUUCGACCAGAUUCAACAAGCAACCUUCGGGGUUCAUCAUUCCAAGCAAUGACGAAUCCCUAUCCACUUCUUAUGCUUUUUCCUUUCUUGUUCAUCAAAUGUAUAGUAUAUUUUUAUAUAGCAUAGAAUAAGUUAAUCCUACGGCUUGUGUGAGAAAUUAUACACUUGUAAUUGAAUUUCUGAAUAAAGAAAGCAAAUUUCAUGUACUGUUGUAAACUA
Molecule: long non-coding RNA, 386 nt
Organism: Cryptomeria japonica (Japanese cedar)
Lineage: Eukaryota; Viridiplantae; Streptophyta; Pinopsida; Cupressales; Cupressaceae
Exons: 2
Source: RefSeq, a predicted model, not a curated record